RNAcentral lists this small RNA (221 nucleotides) under Vigna angularis var. angularis. RNAcentral describes it as "Non-protein coding transcript". Lineage: Eukaryota; Viridiplantae; Streptophyta; Magnoliopsida; Fabales; Fabaceae. The record is from RNAcentral.
AGAGGCCACUACACCGUUGGCAAAGAGAUCGUAGAUCUGUGCCUCGACUGUGUCCGCAAGCUCGCUGACAACUGUACCGGUCUUCAGGGCUUCCUCGUCUUCAUUGUUGUCGGCGGAGGAACCAGUACCGGUCUAGGAUCCCUCCUGUUGGGGCAUCUCUAUGUGGAUUACAGCAAAAUAUCUAAACUAGGGUUCACCAUUUAUCCUUCCCCUCAGGUUUC